CAGUAGCCACGGGAAUACAGAGGGUGCAAGCGUUAAUCGGAAUUACUGGGCGUAAAGCGCGCGUAGGUGGUUUGUUAAGUUGGAUGUGAAAUCCCCGGGCUCAACCUGGGAACUGCAUCCAAAACUGGCAAGCUAGAGUAUGGUAGAGGGUGGUGGAAUUUCCUGUGUAGCGGUGAAAUGCGUAGAUAUAGGAAGGAACACCAGUGGCGAAGGCGACCACCUGGACUGAUACUGACACUGAGGUGCGAAAGCGUGGAGAGCAAACAGGAUUAGAUACCCCGGUAGUCCCUGUCUCUUAUAA
This 301-nucleotide ribosomal RNA is filed under the name uncultured bacterium. Its description in RNAcentral is "partial 16S ribosomal RNA". It matches the Rfam family "Bacterial small subunit ribosomal RNA", at positions 509 to 809 of the family's 1533-position model. The record is from RNAcentral.